AAUAUCAUUUUCUUCCAACUGGCAGUUGUCAAACUGAUACGAUUAUACUCGAUAUGCGAGAUAUACUCGAAUAUAAUCAAAUACAUUCGAUAUGCUGGAUAUACGCUCGUAUAUCAAGCAUAAAUAAAAUGUAGGGAAUGGCCCUAAUUUAUUUUUUCAUAGAUGAA
This is a long non-coding RNA of Bradysia coprophila, 167 nucleotides long. The record is from RefSeq and is a predicted model, not a curated record. NCBI's taxonomy places the organism in Eukaryota, Metazoa, Arthropoda, Insecta, Diptera, Sciaridae.